Molecule: long non-coding RNA, 5219 nt
Filed under: Mytilus galloprovincialis (Mediterranean mussel)
Lineage: Eukaryota; Metazoa; Mollusca; Bivalvia; Mytilida; Mytilidae
Source: RNAcentral
GAAAAAUUUGUCCUUGUGCACACAAAAAGUAAAUUUAAACAAUAUGUUAAACAACUUUCUCAAAUUUCCAUCUUAUUUUUGCGUUGAUAAAACUGUUAAAAGUCCUUGGUUGUCAUUAUAAAGUAUCCCGUUAUAGUCGACCUCGAUAUGUUUGUUGGUUAAGUUAUUAUGUGUCUUUACUGAGGGACACUUUUGAUAAGAGAGAUAAAUUCAUAACAAUAAUCUACUCAGUAAACAGUGUUUAUUAAAAAGAUGCGUAUGGCUGAUUCGUAGUAAAUUAAUUGAUUGAAAACUAAUUGCAUUGAAUACCAUUCGGAACUUCCUAAGCUGACAACUCUCCCACAAUCAAUCCACCAGUGUCAAAGUAUUGUGUAUCGAUUGAUCGGAUCAAGUUUACAUCUAUAUGUGUUAGACAUUGCUUUAUUGGAAAUCUAAAAGGAUUCAACUUAAGAUGGAGAUUACACAAUUUGCAUUUGUUAUAAUUUUCCUUGCAUAUAUUGUUGAAGGUAAGUUUACUCUAUGUAUUUUUUUUCAGUUGAUGAGGGCUUUGAAAAUAGCAAAUUGAUAACUUAUGAAUCAAUAUCAUUUUUUUUUCCCUAUUCGUAUGUCAUAUAAGCCGUGUUGCCGGUGUAUUUAACUUCUGUAUUGGUAUUUAGAGGUCAUUCUAGGACAGUAUAUAAUCUCGUUCUUGUUAGCUUUGGGAGAGAUUUCUGUAUUGAUAUGUGUUCUAAAAUUUACUUAAUCUAAGACAGUGUAUCAUAUCAGAUGUGUCGGUUUUGGAAGCAACUGGUGUAAAUUGGUAUUUAGGCCCAACAAUGUAUCAAUUCAGGUUUGGUCUCAAGUCAGGAGCAUGUAAUUCAAUGGAUGGUUGUUGUAGCGUAUCAUAUUUGUUUUUCGUAAAUGUUUUUGUAUGUUAACCAGGCUGUUAGUUUUCUCUUUUGAACUGCAUAACUUUUGUUAAGUCGGGGCCUUUAUAUAACUCUCGUGUUGGCUUUCAGUCCAUUGUUGUAUGCCUUACAGAGAUCUAUAGUUGCCUCGAUCAUUGACUUUUUUAUUUAGAGGUUAUUCUAUAGAAUAUACUACAUCAGUAGUGUUAGCGGUGGAUGUGAAGGCAUCAGUACGAGCAUUUUACAAAGAAUUGUAUCUAACACUUUUAAGGCUUUUCUCCUGUUCAGUAAGGAACUGCCUCGGUUGUGUCGUGCAUGCAUGGUAGGUUACUCGCCUCGAGUUUGGGAGGUAGGUUUAAUCCCCACCUCAGUCAAAUCAAAGACUUUAAUAUUGGUAUUUUCUGCCUAUCUGCUAACCACAUGGUAUUUAGGAGUCUGAGGAGCAAUGAGACGUAGGCUUAGAGACGGAAUACUCUGUUUGUUUGUGUGUUGGUGUUUUCGAUCCAGUACAAAGCAGUGGUUCUUUUAAUAAGUAUAUGGUGAUUGUUUAAAAGAGACCAGGAAGGUUAUAAGACCAGGAUUGAUUGUUGUUCGCUUUACGUCCAGUGACAAAUAUGUCAUGCAUGUUCAGGACGAGAACAAAUAAACAAUAAAGGUUGAAAGGCUAGACAUUUGAAAGGUCUCUGUUAAUGUUGGAUAGGUUUAGAAACUAAGCAUUGGAAUAGGCUUUUUAUUCUUGCAGGUAAAAUGAUGAAGUGUUACACCUGUGACUCACGAGAAGACAGCCACUGUGGAAACACAUUUGGAUAUACUAAAGUCCAAGCUGAAAACAAACAACUGAUAACAGACUGCAAGGAAAGUCAGGUCUGUAGGAAAACAACAGUGGAGGACUAUGCAGGUACUAAUAAUCUCUAUUGAAAGUUUAUAUAACAUAAAAACAAAACAUGCAUAGGUGGAUAGUUUUCUCAUUAGCACUUAUACCACAUCUUCUUAUAUCUAUAUACGCUGGUUGUGAUCUGAUAUUCAUACUGGUGCAAACACAUCGGUGUUUGCGUGUGUAUGUUUGUGAUGGCCCCUUCGGUGGUGCUGGUCAGUAAUGAUUAUAGAUUUGAAGUCAACCUUUUACAACCAAAUACAUGCAAUAAAUCAAAUCAAGUUAAAAUAUCAACAUUUAUUUAUUUUAAACGUAUGAAAAAUGGGAGUCUCAGACGCAAACAUGUACGUGUAUACAAUCACUUAAAUUUCUAAAGUCUACGAAAAAAUGACAGUAUUAUAUUGUUUAUUGGAUAUAUUAGAUAACCGGUACAUGCACAUUCCUAAGUACUAUGUAAAAUAUCCCAGCACAGCAACAAUGAAAGGCUUACAUUCACUGUAUAACAUGAAGGUACUAAGAUGUAUGAUUGUUCAUGUCAAAUUUAAAGUUUUAUAACUUAUAGUAAUCAUUUAUAUAUUUUAUUUUACGGUUAUUUUAUGUCUUUCUACUGUAAUCUCCUGAUGUAAAUGUGACUGUGUUUUGUAUAUUUUUACUUCAGGCUUGUUUCACAUCUGUGACAGUGUAUUUUAAAUAAAGCUAAUAGUAUAUAUAUCAUAUAGUAUAUAUGUAACAGGCCUCUCCUUGUUAUCAUUUUGUUAGACAUUUUCUAAAAUUCCUGCAAUUAAGGCUUAGGUAUUUUAAAUGCUGGAAAAAUUGAAAGGCAUAUUUCAAAAUGCAGGAAAUUAUUCUAUAUGAAAUGUUCACUAAAAAUUUUGAAAUGGCUGAUCUGUUACGCAUUUGUUCUGAUUCAUUUGUCUGGCUUUAAACCUGCAUGGUCUUAGCAAUACUAUAACAAUCACAGUUGGUUAAAACCAGACCAUGACACAUUUAGCCCUACGUGACUGUAGCAAUUAUUGUUCUUUCAACAAGCUGACUCAUUUCCACGUAUGACGGUAUGAUGCAUACAGAGCAGGAGACACCUAUCUUGUCAGCGUCUUGCUUCUUAUGGAGAUCUUACAAUUCCCACAUGUUUUGUUUUUCAGUUACCUUGAUUUGUCUCUUCUUACUUGAUUUUUAGAUUUGAACAUCAGUAAACUCAGUACUGUCGGAUUGUAAAGACCUAGAACAUCAGUAAACUCAGUACUGUCGGAUUGUAAAGACCUAGAACAUCAGUAAACUCAGUACUGUCGGAUUGUAAAGACCUAGAACAUCAGUAAACUCAGUACUGUCGGAUUGUAAAGACCUAGAACAUCAGUAAACUCAGUACUGUCGGAUUGUAAAGACCUAGAACAUCAGUAAACUCAGUACUGUCGGAUUGUAAGAACUAGAACAUCAGAAACUUACUGUCGGAUUGUAAGACCUAGAACAUCAGUAAACUCAGUACUGUCGGAUUGUAAAGACCUAGAACAUCAGUAAACUCAGUACUGUCGGAUUGUAAAGACCUAGAACAUCAGUAAACUCAGUACUGUCGGAUUGUAAAGACCUAAAAUAAGAAAUAUUAUACAAACACCUCAAAUGUUAUUGUUUCCUUGUCUAUAAGAACUAAAAAUGUAAACUUUGUUUUUAGGACGUUUUGUGGUACGAGAGUGUGUGGAAUCCGUGGUAACAGGUUGUAGAGAGAUGCGUCGUGACGGAGAGGUCUGUGACUGUGUCGGUGAGUUGUGUAACAGUACAGACAUACCCAGAGUAUAUUUCGGAUUAAUUAUCGUCUUGGUUGUAGUGCAGAGAUUACUACUGUUAUAGACCGGGUACAAAGGAAGGCGAUAAUGAACACCAGUGGGAUGUAAUACUUUUUACCAAACACUGUCACUCUGAACAAUAAUUGACAAUAUCACUCUUUUAUGUAAAUUUGCAUCUACUCUGAUUUCACCAUAUGUGUACAGUAGUUCUCGUCCAUCUUCAUAUUAAUUAUAUUUGCAUGAAAGCGAAAUCAAGAUAAACAUAUCUUAUUGAAUUGCAGGGAAAUACUAUGUAGUAUUUUUUAAAAGUGCAGCUUUACCCCUUUCCAGCAGCUUUACCCCUUUCCAGCAUCUUUAACGACAAAUACCUCGUAACUAAAUAAACAUAUGAACAAAGAAGACAGAUAUGUAAAUAAAUAAAUAGGAGAUAAUAUAUGUUGUUUUAUAAUGAAUGGUUAACAAGCUUCAAGGUUGUAAUAUAUCAACCGCUUUAUGAAUUCAGUUAAUUAUGCGUGUUUUUGUAAAUACUGAUACUUUUCCUGAAAAUAAAUCUUCUAUACAUCCUUGCAGUGACAUAUAUAUGCACACAACACUUUUCUGGGUCAGUUUUUGUAAAAUCUUUGAAAUCUUGAGUAAGCUACUCACUAAUUACUAACCCUAUAAUUGAUAUACAUGUAAGAGGAGCAAGAUCUGCCUACCCUUCCGGAACACCUGAGAUUACCCCUAGUUUUUGUGAGGUUCGUGUUGCUCAUUUUUAGCUCACCUGGCCCAAAGGGCCAAGUGAGCUUUUCUCAUCACUUGGCGUCCGGCGUCCGGCGUCCGGCGUCCGGCGUUCGUCGUCCGUCGUCGUCGUCCGUCGUUAGCUUUUACAAAAAUCUUCUCCUCUGAAACUACUGGGCCAAUUUUUACCAAACUUGGCCACAAUCAUUAUUAGGGUAUCUAGUUUAAAAAUUGUGUCCGGUGACCCGGCCAACCAACCAAGAUGGCCGCCAUGGCUAAAAAUAGAACAUAGGGGUAAAAUGCAGCUUUUGGCUUAGAACUCAAAAACCAAAGCAUUUAGAGCAAAUCUGACAGGUGUAAAAUUGUUAAUCAGGUCAAGAUCCAUCUGCCUUGAAAUUUUGAGAUGAAUCGGACAACCCGUUGAUAGGUUGCUGCACCUGAAUUGGUAAUUUUAAGGAAAUUUUGUUGUUUUUGGUUAUUAUCUUGAAUAUUAUCAUAGAUAGAGAUAAACUGUAAACAGCAAAAAUGUUCAGUAAAGUAAGAUCUACAAAUAAGUCAACAGGACCAAAAUGGUCUGUUGACCCCUUUAGGAAUUAUUGCUCUUUAUAGUCAAUUUUUAACCAUUUUUCGUAAAUCUUAGUCAUCUUUUACAAAAAUCUUCUCCUCUGAAACUACUGGGCCAAAUUAAACCAAACUUGACCACAAUCAUCAUUGGGGUAUCUAGUUAAAAAAAUGUGUCCGGUGACCUGGCCAACCAACCAAGAUGGCCGCCAUGGUUAAAAAUAGAACAUAGGGGGUAAAAUGCAGUUUUUGGCUUAUAACUCAAAAACCAAAGCAUUUAGAGCAAAUCUGACAUCGGGUAAAAUUGUUUAUCAGGUCAAGAUCCAUCUGCCCUGAAAUUUUGAGAUGAAUUGGACAAUCCGUUGAUAGGUUGCUGCCCCUGAAUUGGUAAUUUUAAGG